CUUUGAAUGCAGCAAACACGUAUCGGCCAUUAAAGGAAAAGGAGGCUGGUCUCCGGCUCGCAACGUUGGCCUUAUUGAUUGCCCUCACGCUCACGUACGCCUAUAAAAUAUUAUAAAGCCAUAAAGCCACCUGCAAACAAGCUGGCCAACAAUUAAGGUAACGCCCCCUGAUGGCUGCGGUAUUUUGAUUUUCGUAGCUAAUGUGCUGUUUACGAGUUGCCUGCACCUCGACGUUGCUGGCCCUUAUUUGUUCAGAUCGCAAUGAUAUUGACGCUUUAAGAUUCAAUUUAAAUUUAUGAUUUUGAUGAAAACAUCCGAAGGCUGUUCGCAUAAGAUGCAUUCCUUUCGCACAAGACGCUCGAACGUGAACUUAAAACAAGGCGAGGGUCGAAGAUCAUGGGAGUAUUGUAAGAAGAAAACAUAAAUUGCAAUUCAAACUAAUCUCAACUCAGAGGUAAAACCUAAAUUAAAUUAUUUUAUGAAACAGAAC
Long non-coding RNA from Drosophila montana, 490 nucleotides. RefSeq lists it as uncharacterized. Lineage: Eukaryota; Metazoa; Arthropoda; Insecta; Diptera; Drosophilidae. The record is from RefSeq and is a predicted model, not a curated record. The transcript is spliced from 3 exons.